This 107-nucleotide small nuclear RNA is filed under the name Echinops telfairi (small Madagascar hedgehog). Lineage: Eukaryota; Metazoa; Chordata; Mammalia; Afrosoricida; Tenrecidae. The record is from RNAcentral.
GUGCUCCCUUCAGCGGCACAUAUACUAAAAUUGGAACGAUACAGCAAAGAUUGGCAUGGCCCCUGCGCAAGGAUGACACGCAAAUUCAUGAAGCUCUCCAUAUUUUU